Neltuma alba is the source of this 4136-nucleotide RNA transcript. It is a transcript of the gene named protein WHAT'S THIS FACTOR 1 homolog, chloroplastic, with no coding region annotated. Lineage: Eukaryota; Viridiplantae; Streptophyta; Magnoliopsida; Fabales; Fabaceae. The record is from RefSeq and is a predicted model, not a curated record. The transcript has 5 exons.
GGUCACUGUCGGCUUUCCCUUUCUCUGGCUUUCGGCGUUCCUUCCUUCCCACGCUGGCACACCCCUUCCGCUUCGCCUUCGUCUUCUACUCUUCCUCUUCCUUCCAGUUCUUCACUUACCCUCGCCUUCGUCUUCCUCAAUCCAGCAGCCGCCCAGAUCGAAGAGUCGAAGUGGAGGGAGUUCACCUUUCAGUUAGCUCGUGUCGGACAUGGACGGCAGCUUGAAGCUCGAACUCGACGGGCGACGGCAACUUGAAGGCUUGAAGCUCAGAAAUCGGCGCCUCUAGCCCAGAGGUGCGCUGCUGUCCGUUCGCCGUCGGUGUCUUCUUUUCCUUUUGUUGCUACUCGCCACCGCUCUCUCCUUUCCUUCUCCUCAGUCGACUCUGUCUUGUGUGUGAGCGAGCAGCUCAUGGUGAUUUUACUCUCACCUUGGUAGAGUUGGGCACUAAUAGCUGGUUGAAAGGGAAAGCCCAGGUUUUGUCCAUUUCAACUUCCCAAUGUAAGUUUUGCUACAUUUCGACUUUCCAAUGUAAGUUAAAAGGAAUCUAUGUAUAUUUUGAUUUGAUACCUGAUUGAUUAAUUGCCUGAUUGUAUAGUACAUAAAUGAUGAUAUGUGUAGUUGUCGUUGAAAUGAUUUCUGGUUUUGCAUGCCGUCUCUGAAACACUUGAACUUUGUUCAUUUCUUAUAGUUUUGUACUUUUGAUGAGAGAAAGCUUUCAAAGCAUUAUUUAUUUAUAUUUCUUUGUUGGGAGAAGGUUAAAGGAGCAAUGUACAUUAUGGUGAUUAAACAAUUCAUUUGAAACUAUCCAAAUAACUUUUGGGCUGCAUACUCUGCUCCUUUUUUGUUUAUGCCCAUUUUCUUUCCUUUUUCUUUGGACAUAUGAAUUGGAUGACUACACCUUGAUUCAGUUUCACUUUGUUGAUAUUCCACAUGUAGCUUACAGUUCGAGGCUAAUCUUGACCUAUGGAUUUUUUUGGGCGUUUAAAUGCACUAUAGUUAUAGGUUGCAGGCUGUUGAUAGCUAUUUCUCCUCAAAUUUCAUGGCUUGGAAUGCAUGGUUAGUUUAUAUUGUCUAUGUCAUCUCAGGAAUUGUGAUGACUAUUGGUUUGGUCUCUGUGCCAAGUACUGGCUUGAGUGAUUAUGGAGCACCUCGGCUUUUGAUGCCAUAUUUAGUGAUUUUUGAGGCGAAAGAAUAAUUAUUAUUGUUUACAUGAUAAAAAAGGAAAUACGAUAUUUUUUUUCCCUUUUGAUUUAGGUCAGAUUUACAGAUUGCUACUGAAGUAAAUGUUAUUUCCCUACUUUAAGUAUGCAGUGAUAGUAAUAUUGAUAGUGAUAUUGUGGCUCUAUUGCUGUGCAUGUAUGUUGCAUAUCUUGAUCAAUGUUUUAUAGUUUUAUAUAUUUUAUUCAUGUAUUCUAAGAUACAUGCAUCUUACCUGUUCUCCCUUGGUUGUAAAUUUUGAACUUAGUGAUAUCUUUCUAGGACAAUGUUUCUGCACUUUUUCAAAUUACUUCUAUUUGUCCUCAUUAAAUUAUUUUGGAAGUACAGGAUGAAUCAUUAUUAAUUUGGAUAUCAAGUAGCAGAGAAAGAUGUCUAAAGUUAUCUUCUGUCUCGAGAAUUAUUCCUAUAAAAAGAAUUGUGAGAUCUCUACAUGUCUAUUGCAUAAUGCAACUGCUUUAUUUUUCUGUAGUUCAAUCUAAACUAACUGAUUUCCAUAUAUAAUAUGAUUUGAUGACUUACUCAUGUUUUUUGUUUACAUCAAUUCUAUGGUAGGAUAUUUUCAACAUUGUUUGUGUCCCGAGAAGGAUUUGUCUUUUUCACGUAUUUACGACAACAUAAAGAGAUUACUUGACUUGGUUGGUGCUGGGUUUAGCAUUUAUAAGUAUGAAUAUCUUAUCACUUUAUUGCUUCGUAUAUUUGCAAGGAUAAACCUGGGGCAGAAGGUUGGGUUGCUCUCCUCGAAUCAUUGCUCCCUUUUGGUCAAGGUGGGCAGUCCAAAACUUACAGAUGGAGUGAUGUGGGGGCCUCUGUCUUGAACAAGAGGAAACGUGGACAGAGGAGAUCCAAAAAUUGAAGAAGCUUAGUCCUGAUGGGAAAAUCUCCAGUCAAGAAGGAUUGAAGCAUAUUGGAGAAAGAAUGAAUCUUUUGUCUUUGUUUGGAACUUGCCAGGAUGAACUUUCUAUCAAGUGUUACGGGUGAAUGAGAAUGCUGAUUGAUUGGAGACCGGGAUGUUUCUGCGUACAAUAAAUAUGAGUAACAGUAGAUUUUAUGGUACACCAUCUCUCCAAUGCCUUGUGCGAAACUUCUCACUCUGGUCUAUGAAGAAGGAUCCGGAUCUUGAAUCAGCUCUAUCUCGCAAUCACCGCUGGAUUGUUAAUAAUCAAAUCAAGAACAUUAUCCUUCGAUAUCCUAAGCAGGAGAUACCUGUGAAAGUUCUUCAGAAGAAAUUUAAGAACCUUGAUCUCCAAGGCAAAGCUCUCAAUUGGAUAAAAAAAUAUCCAUGUUGUUUUGAGCUUCAUCUCCAUGGUGAUGAAUAUCACUGUAGACUGACAAAGCAGAUGAUGCAUUUGGUAGAAGAAGAAGAAUCUGUUAAAGACAUGCAGGAAACAAUAUUUGUUAGGAGGUUAGCAAAGUUGUUGAUGAUGAGUGCAAAUAAGAGACUUAAUGUUGUCAAAAUUAAUGAGCUGAAGAGAAAUUUUGGUUUUCCAGAUGAUUAUUUAAUCAGAAUUAUUCCUAAGUAUCCAGAUAUGUUUCGGAUUGUUAAUUAUAGUGGAAGACGAAAUGCAAUGGAAAUAGAAUUGGUAUCUUGGAACCCUGAUUUGGCUAUUUCUACAGUUGAAGCAUCUGCUCAGAAACAGGGAACCCACCCAAGUUUCACAUGCUUAUUACCUUCAACUUGGGUGAAAUCUUGGGAAAGAUUUAAUGAAUUUAAUUCAAGCCCUUAUAUUUCACCUUACAUGGAUCCAAAAGAUUUGGUGGAAGGAUCAAAGGAGAUGGAGAAGAAGACAGUAGGUUUGCUGCAUGAAUUGUUAUCAUUGACUCUCUGGAAGAAGGCCUCAAUUGUGAAACUGAGUCACUUUAGGAGGGAGUUUGUUUUACCAGAUAAGUUGAACAUUUUAUUGCUCAAGCAUCCUGGGAUUUUUUACGUUUCAAAUAAGUAUCAAAUUUAUACAGUUCUGCUUCGAGAGGGAUAUAAUGGCUCUGAACUCAUUUAUAAAGAUCCUUUGGUAUUGGUGAAGGACAAAUUUGGGGAACUGAUGCAGGAGGGACUUCAUGAAUAUAAUCAGAGGCAUCGCUUAAUGAAUUUGGAGAAGAAGAGAAAGAAUGGCCUUCCUUUGGCUAGAGUAGAUAAAAGAAAGGAUAGAAGAGCUGGAAUUUCUGACUCGGAGAAUCAGGGAGAUAAACUGGGGGCUUUGCAUGACCCAGAAGAAAGAAAACGGUUCUAUAAAGUUCUGUUUGAUGAUGAUGCUUCAUGAAAUCUACAUAGGACUCGUUUCUCAUUUGGUAGAGAAUGAAGAGUUGCAAGCAAAGAUGAGAAUAAGAAAUCUUCCUUAAAAAAGGUAUGAUUUGACAUACUGUAUAUUGGAGCAAUUGGACGGGGGAUAGGCAUGGAAUUUGAUGGCAAGUCCAUUGACCCACUUCUGUUUGUCUCCCCAAAAAUCUAUGAAAGAAAGCUGGGAAGCAAUUUUCUAUUGAUGUGCACUAGUGUUACGGUUGCUCGAUGCCGGGUUGAUGUGCUCGAGAGGCAUUGACUCCUGCCAAACACUCGUUAAACAGCGACUUCGAUGCUGUUAGCAUCGAUCAAUGUGACCAUUUGAGGUACCUUGUAGUGUGGUUGUAUGGCUAUUAGUGGAUCGCAGCUUAGAAGGCCAUCUCCCAUAUUAACAGAACUAUAAAACCUGGCAUUAGAAAAUUGGGCCAUAUAAAAUCUUCUGAAAGAGCCUCAUUUGGUUCCUUAGAAUAAGAAAGUAAAUGAAACUUUUCAGAUAGUUUUUGCUUUGGAUCCUUUCUUUGUGAAUUUGAGGUCGUGCUCCUCUUGUUUUUCGUUAGUCGCUCCUUUAAUUGACUUUGUACUUAUUUAUUUAUGAUGUGAGCCAUUAUGACUUUUUAAAUAUUUUAAUGUGAAGAAAAUUCACACA